Macaca mulatta (Rhesus monkey) is the source of this 7545-nucleotide non-coding RNA. The record is from RefSeq and is a predicted model, not a curated record. Lineage: Eukaryota; Metazoa; Chordata; Mammalia; Primates; Cercopithecidae.
GUGACAGACCAAGACCAUGUUUCUUACCCUAAAACAACAACAACAAAACACCUGGUACUGAUUAUAUCACUAUAGGUGUAUGAUAACAAUUCAAAACAAAUAAGUAGUCUUCCUUCUGUCUGUCAUUCUGUAACAAAUAAAUAAAAAAUAAGAAAAUAGGUAGUAAUUAGGAUUGUGUUUUAGUGAAUCCUCAGGUAGUGUAUUUGUUAGGCUGAAUAAUGGCUCCUCCCAAAAGAUAUCCAUGCCUUAAUCCCUGGAACCUAUGAAUGUUACCUUAUAUCACAAAAAGUACUUUAAAGAUAUAAUUGAAUUACAAAUUUUGAGAUGGGGAAAUUACCCUGGAUCAUCCGGGGGGAUAAUUUUUAUUGUAGUUAUAUUUUAUAGUUGUAUUAUAGUUAUACUGUCUAAAUAUAACUAUUUCCUUUAGAGGCAAAUAGUUUAGGGUAACAGAUUAGGGUAAACAGAUUAGGGUAAAUUCUGCAGUCAAGUUGAUGUGGAAGACAAGAUUACCUGGAUAAUAAGAGUCAACAUUAUCUGCUCCACAUUUCCUGAAUGAAACCAGAAUUAUCUGACUUCCUACUUUGGCUCAAGGGCCAAACUGUGCCUCCAGGCCAUCACAACCAGUAACCAUGCACAAUUGGCUCACUGAUUCCCGUAAAGCAACUCAUAUGCUCUGAGUUAUGACUAGAUCUAUUUCAGGACUUGUCACAUUGUCAGGCCAGAUUUCCACAAUACAACCCCUGAGCAGAGCCUCUAAAGAUGGAGAUUCCAAAGACCUCUUUUAUCCUAUUGAAUGCACAAAAUUUUUGGAGCAAGCCCUCUACUCUCCACCACUUAGUCAGGGAAGUUCCAAGAGGUACAGCUUUACUUCCUGAGUUGCUUUGGAUGAUCAGACCAUCCAUCAAAUUCCCAGCUGUUCUCACCAUCAUCCACUCCAAAACUACAUAAUUUAGACUACUAAUUAAAUCUCAGGUAAAAGCUUUAACUUUAUGCCUUUGUAAUUAGGAGACAUUUUUAUACACACAUGCAUAUUCCAAAACACUUUUUAAUUAAAACAUUCUGGGGGAAAUAUCCUUACUUUCCAUUUUGGAGAUGGUGCAAAGUAUUAAGAAAAGUUUGAUUUUGCUCAGAGCAUUCCUGUUUUAAAUCAAACUAAUUUUUCCAUUGAAUAUUCUAAGAGUGAUUUGCCCACCCUUAAUGUACCUCAGCCAGAAACAUGUUCCCUUUGAAAUUAAUCCCAGCUUGUGAACAUUGAAAGGUGAAGACCGUAAGGAAUGUAAUUUCAUAUUAGUGGUUUCUGUGACUAGAUAAACAUUAAUAAUGUUUUCAUACUGGCCUAGAAAGUGAUUUAAUUUAUUAAGUGCAGUGGACAUAUGGUACCCUGUUUGCAUUAGCUAUGCCCAGUACAUGAAAAGAAAUCACUAAGUAGAAUUCAGUUACCUACUUUUUUUCCCUAACUCACUAUAUUUUAUGUAUGAAUUUGCCACUGGUAAUGAAGAGCUCCAGCUAAUAUGAACAAUGGCAAGAGAAGUUAUACCAUUAAAUGUAUAGGUUCAUAAAUGUAGCAUAUAAAAAUGGAUGAUUUGCAAUUCAAUUCUACAAAUAUUGUGAUAAUACUAUGUGACAGGACUUAUAGCCUGAACUGGGGAUAGAGAAGUGCAUGAGCCAGAUGCAGCCCCUGCCCCAUAGACCUUAGGGUACCACUCUUUGCCAGAACCAUGGUGGAGGUAAUGGGGCAUCUAAAAUGGAUUGCCUUCCUCAAUAUCCAUUCCAGCCUCCUUCCAGUACUCCUGAGUUUGGAAAGCUAGAAAUUACAUUUCCCAGACUCCCUUAUAGUCAGAGUUUAGGAUGUGGUUGGGAUUCCACCAUUCAGAUGCACUCAAAAGACUUGGAUUGUAACUAAAUUAAGUGGAGACAUGGCUUGCCACAUAAUUUGGAAGAGCCAAUAUAAAAUUAAAGUGUGAAGACCCUUGUACAAAAGGCAGGAAAAAAACUUUUUCCUCCUGUCUUCUUCCCCUGGUCUUUCUCACCAUCUAUCAGGGUGUUUUGUUUGUCUGUUUUUUGCUAUUGAAUGUUAUAGUCCCAGAAAUGUGAGGAUACUCAGAUAUGAGGGCAGAUCCUCACCAGUACUUAUAAUCUGGCGUAUGUGCAGCCCACUGGCUAUAAGGUUUCCCUCCUACCUGCUGCAAGACAAAAGGCUCCACAAGUUCAAUCAGGCAUCUUUUUCCUUCCACUGGCCACAGCAACUCAAGGUUGUUGGGUGACCCCCGAGAGUACUGUCACCUUCAUGUAUAGAUAAAUGAGACAGUUGGAUGGAGACAAGAGGUGUACCCUCACCAAGUCACCCACUGAAUGUUCCAUGAUGCUACCAGCCUGGGGCAAGGACUGCCACUGCCUUGCCCUCUCCUAUCCUGUCUUGCAUAGAGAUGCUCUGGGAGCAUGUGCCUGACUCUAACUAACCCCAAUCUUCUUCCUAUCCAUGCCUAGGGCUCCACCAGAGGUGGAGGGAGGCAGUGAUUGGUGGACCAUGCCCAGGAAGGGGACGUGUGGGUUAGAGGAGCUGUUGGCUGAGAAGCUGUCACAGGAAGGUGGCAAGAAGAAGACCUAAGGUCCCCCAGGACAUACUCUAUUGUCCCCAAGGACAUCACUUUUAAAACACAAAUUAAAAGACAAAUUUUUAAGAAUUUCAUCAUGGUAGCCACAGAGCACUAAACUCCAUGGAUGGGGGCCCAGAAAGAAUGCAUAGAUCACCUGCUCAUGAAGCUGGUGCUUCGUGGAAAGAAAGCAUUCCAUUUUAUGCCUGCUGAUUGUGGCAUCAAGGAUCUCCUGUUAUCAGUUUCCUGCCAAAAUGUCAGGAGGAGAUUGUGAGAUUCUUGGCCACGCAAAAGUUGGGUGAUUUUGGAAAUGGGGAGUUUUUCCUAGAAACAUAGCCUAGAGCCUGCUCUUUUAGCCACUUUAAUGAUUUUCUAAGCCAUCUAAUAGCUGGUAAUAAUUUCCUUAAUACUUAGCCCAACCAGAAAGUCUUAAUUGCAAAUAACAGAAACCACAGCUGAUAAUUCUCUCUGGAGAAGCAUGAAAUAGACGUCAGAAGAAAAUUGACUGUAGUGGUGGCCACCAUUCCAAACAGAAAAAAAAAAAGCAUUUGAUAUUGCCGAAGGUCAUUCAGUGCUAGAAGAAAAAUCAUUUAUAUUAAAGGAGAGGCAUCAUGGAAAUGGAAUAGCAGUGUCAUUCCUAGCUGCCCUUUAUAUUCCAAGAGUUGGAGAGAAUUCUUGAAGCAGACCAGUGAUUAGCAAGUGGGCACAGAAACAAAUUGUAUCCUUGCUCAGAAAAAAAGUAGGAAUCAUCCUUGUGAUAUAGUAGGAAAAACAUGAGCUUUAGAUUUAUGUAAAUCGAGGUUUGAAUCCAGGCCAUCUACUUUCUCUGUUACCUUCGGUAAGUAACUUCUCUAAGUCUCAAUUUCCUCAAAUUGUUCUUCUAGGGUAGUUAGAGAUAAUAUAGAAAAACAACCCAGUAUAAUGUCAGAUACACAGUAGAUAUCAAUAACUACUGAAAUCAUAAUAAAAUCUGAAAUUGGUACAUAGGACGAUGUGGAUGGCUUUCCCAGGUCACUAUUGCAUCUGGGUAUAUUGUCCAAGCAGAACUUCUGUAAAGCAAUACCAUACGAAAUCUCCAUGGGAUUUAUUGGCAUCAAUCUCCCAGUCUUCCACCUACCCAUCUACCCCCAGUCAACUCACCCAUACCCCUAUCCCAAAUAACCAUCUACCCUCUCUCCCUUCUAAAAUUGGCACGUAGAAUUCAAUAUUAAGAAUUCUCAAGAUUAAGUAGUAGCUCUAUCUAUCAUAUCAAACCACAAAUUAGAGAAAUGAUUUACUCCAAAAUGAAAUUCAUUUAAAACUCAUAUAAAACUUUCUCCUCCCAAAGUUGGAUCUGCUUUAUAACAAUUGCAGGGAUGCUAAGGAUCUCUGUAUGUUUGGGAAUCUCUUCAUGUCAACUCCAUCCACCAUACUGAAUAUUAAUCAGAAAUCUUUCUCUACCUUUGCAUGUGCUAUUUCUGCAGCUUGAGUUUUCUUUCCCUGGUUGGUGUGAUACAUUCAAGACUCACUUCACAUUUCUACUCCUCUUUCUAUCCCAGGGCCCCGAGACAGCAGAUUUCACUCUUCAUUACCAGCACAGAACCUUGCGCACACCUCUACACAACUCUUCCUAUAGUGAAUUUCAAGUAUUUGUUUAUAUUUUGUCUAUCCAUAUCUAUAUUUUGAUAUCCUUGUUGGCAGAGACCAUACCUUGUUUAUGUUUUUUAUCUAAUGCCAGCUCAGUCUUAUGCAUAGGGGGGCCUAAUUCAUACUGAGUUGAUCUACAACCUUAAAAGUAAGCCCAAGCCCUUUACUCCCAACUUCACCCCAUUGGCUCAGUCCAGUGUUCUACUCUUCCAUUAUGAUCAGCAGCCCCAGGCAUCCUUUCUACUCUUAUCAGCUCCACUGGAUACCCAGGUCUCACCUGGUCUCAACUACCACUCAUGCCUCUGCUCUGUCCUUUACCCUCACAGAAACAUAUCCCGGCAUUUAUAAAUAUGGGCAGAGAAAGAUGAGGAAAGGGAAAAAAAAGAGAGUUUAAAGAAAAAUGAAUGGCAUGGUCAACAAUGAGAAAUGUAGUACGAGAUAAAGAGAAUGGUUGAAAUGUGUAAUGUAUUGAGACCUACUGUGCUCCAAGCUCAAAGGAGAUGUAAAGGGGAGAGAAAUCAACAAGGUAGAAGAGCCUCUUUCCCUCUACCUUGCAUCCUACUAUGGGGCCUUGCAUUCUACCAUGCUGUAUGUGCUGCAGACAAUCAGUAAGUAACCAAUGUAAUUACAGCUCACGAAGAGUGCCACAAAGGAAGGAGGCAGGGAGAUAAGAUGAUGAUGAUGACAAUAAUAGUAAGAAGUUACCUAUAGUUAGCCCAAAAUAGCUACUAUAUGUCAAGCCUUGUUUUAAAUGCUACCAGUAUCUAAUCUUGCUUAAUCCUUACAAGCACCCUAGAAAACAGGGAUAAUUAUUUUCUCCUUUGUAGAUGAGAAACUGAAGCACAGAGAAGUUAAGUAACAUCUUUCAAUGGCUAGCUUUGCUUAAUGAGCAACUGAGCUAUAAUUGUUAAGAAUGAGAAAAUCAAAUCUGAUGUGUCAUGGAAUAAAAGUUUAUUAAUUAACUUGUAACAAUUUCAAAAAUCCUUUUUAGCAAUUUUGAAUCUUAAAGUUAUAUUAAAUUAAGUAAUAGAUAUUUAUUAAAUGUCUGGGCCAUUUCUAAGUCAGUUAAAACACUGAAACACUAAUUAUUAAGCAUAAAUUUAAGUUUAUACAUUUUGAUAUAUUUUUAUGUGGUAUGGAUAAGCUAAAUAUAUUUGGGUUUGUAAAUAAACAUGAAAAUUUUGUUGUGAGGAAACAUGUUUCUGAAAAUUAUGAAAUGGUUACCAUUGACAAAAUAUUGAUAUAAAGCAGUUCAAAACUGCUUAUGUCCUAGGUUUUCAUGAUAAAUUAAGGUUACUAGAGUUUUAAAAAUCUAAUUAACAUAUGGUAAUUAAAACAACUCCUUACGCAAGGAAAGUAAGACAUGUUUUUGGUAAGUGAAGCUUACAUGAAAGAUGUGUUUUAGUUAAGGGAAGCAAAAGGAAUUUUCGUCUUAAAACAGGAUGAUUAGUUGUCCCAAAAUAAGAAAGAGAAAAGGUUGUGGAAAGUUUAUGAAAGAUGAAUCUUGUGAAAAGAAUUUUAUGUGCAAUUAAGCUGGCUAAAAUUGGAAGGGAAUUAUAAGUUUUUUCUAAAAACAGCAUUACUAUCAAAGUUGUACUAAUACAAAAUGAGAAUUUGGUUUUCUCCUUUAAACAAGAUUUUUCUGGGGCAUAGGUUCUCAGCACCUCCUGAGACUGUAUCAAGGGAAAAAUAUUUUUAAAGAUUUUUCUGUAAUAAGAGAUAGUAAAAGAUUUUUUGUUCACCUUUUGAGUAAACUGCAAAAGGUGAGAGUGGGAGGGGAGAGAAAGAGAAACAGAUUUUACGUGCUUCAUGAUGUCUUUUUUUAGGUCUUUUAAUUAUUUGGAAAAUUAGGUCUUCCCUCUAACAAAGAGUAAAGGUUUUUGCUUUUUAAAACUUUUAAUUAUCAAUUUGGCUAAAUGAUUGAUUAUUAUUUCAGAGUGAUCUGUGAUCCUAUUUUGAUCAAGUGUUUUAAACCUUUGACAUAUUUGACAGGCUUCCCAACAUAAAAUUUCAAAAGAAAAAAUAAGCCUUUUUGACUCCAAACUAACCUUCAGAUGCUACAGAGAGCCCUUGAAGCAUUCAAAACAGAUAUAAUAAAUAGGCUUAUUUGGUAUGUUUAAUUAUAUGGGAAGCAUUGUCAAAUAAGAAAUGAUGUUUAGCCUUUUCCUGAGUUACAUCAUUUUCCAAAAAUAGUAUGAGAUUUCUAAAAUUCUGACAUGUCAUGGUAUAUGUUAUCAGUCAUGAUAUUAUGAUUAUUAUGUUAAAUUAUUGUAGGCCACAGACAGAAUUAAACUUUCUUGUCAAUUAUGUCUUUAGUUAUAACCAUUUUAAGUCUUGUUGUCCUAGUUAAUUGAUUAAUUCUGAUGCCUUUUCUGAAAGCUCUUUACAAGCAAUUAUUAUCCUAAAGUGUUAUAUCUUCAAGGAGGUACAUGGAAAGGAUGGAAAGGACCCUGACAAGCACUCCUGAAUACAGAUUUCUGAUUACUUUAGGAUCAUAUCAUUUGGAUUAGGUAAAGGAAACUUUUCAUGAUUCACCAACUUAAGACAAUCAAACCCUUCAUGAUCUACAACGUGGAGACCAGGUUUUCUGGGAACGAUAAUAGAGGAAGACUGCCCUUGCCACCAACACUGCAGCAAAACGUUGGGACAUUGAACCUUGGGCCUGUAAUCACACAACUCAGAGUGGCCCUUCAGACUCUUGGAACUGUACACCUGUAGGAGACCUUAAGGUGCAGCUAAUCAGGGAAGUCUCUCCCCAGAAGCAGACAGCAUCCUAGACAUGGACAACUUUCCCAAGAUCAUGGAUCAAGAAUUCUCUGUCAUCAGAAAAAUUUUACCUCUCUUAGUUUUUUUCUUUUCCUUGCUUAUGCCUCUAUGAACAAUAUAAUUGGGAAAGGGGCCUUGUGUGCACCAAUGGAGUAUGCUUUUAUUUGUGGAGGAUUUUGCAGCCAACUUUAUACCUGAGCAACUUAUGCCUUGAUGGAUGGAAGAUGAAGGGCCAGUAUGGGCUAGAAAUUUUAAUAGUACCUUUGCUGCUCCAUGAUCAGUCAGAAACAGAACAUUUGUUCACUCCUCUUAACCUACAUCUUAGGUUAAAAGAACAUUGCCAGGAAGUCUUCACUCUUCUGGAUGGGCAUCAUUUCUUAGGUCUCUUUUCCCAUGGCCUGCAUUAAAUAUAAAUGAGGUAAUGCUUACAAAUAUAUCACUCAUAAUAGGCUCUACAGCAGGUUCAACUGCAAAGACUGUGGUUGCACAACAGACGUCUUUAAAUUCUCUUGCUAACGUUUUAUUAGGUAAUAAAAUUGCUCUAGAUUAACUAUGAAAA